GAUGAACGCUGGCGGCGUGCCUAAUACAUGCAAGUCGAGCGAACAGACGAGGAGCUUGCUCCUCUAACGUUAGCGGCGGACGGGUGAGUAACACGUGGAUAACCUACCUAUAAGACUGGGAUAACUUCGGGAAACCGGAGCUAAUACCGGAUAAUAUAUUGAACCGCAUGGUUCAAUAGUGAAAGACGGUUUUGCUGUCACUUAUAGAUGGAUCCGCGCCGCAUUAGCUAGUUGGUAAGGUAACAGCUUACCAAGGCAACGAUGCGUAGCCGACCUGAGAGGGUGAUCGGCCACACUGGAACUGAGACACGGUCCAGACUCCUACGGGAGGCAGCAGUAGGGAAUCUUCCGCAAUGGGCGAAAGCCUGACGGAGCAACGCCGCGUGAGUGAUGAAGGUCUUCGGAUCGUAAAACUCUGUUAUUAGGGAAGAACAAAUGUGUAAGUAACUAUGCACGUCUUGACGGUACCUAAUCAGAAAGCCACGGCUAACUACGU
RNAcentral lists this ribosomal RNA (496 nucleotides) under uncultured bacterium. Its description in RNAcentral is "partial 16S ribosomal RNA". It matches the Rfam family "Bacterial small subunit ribosomal RNA", at positions 28 to 506 of the family's 1533-position model. The record is from RNAcentral.